UUCUUUAUAGUUUAAUAUAAACAUCUACUUUGGAUGUAGAAAUUUUCAUUAUUAAU
This 56-nucleotide transfer RNA is filed under the name Parasteatoda cingulata. RNAcentral's name for it is "tRNA-Pro". The record is from RNAcentral. Lineage: Eukaryota; Metazoa; Arthropoda; Arachnida; Araneae; Theridiidae.